RNAcentral lists this long non-coding RNA (1235 nucleotides) under Prunus persica (peach). Its description in RNAcentral is "long non-coding RNA (PPER_LNC003776)". Lineage: Eukaryota; Viridiplantae; Streptophyta; Magnoliopsida; Rosales; Rosaceae. The record is from RNAcentral.
CACCAGCCCUUGAAGCACUGGACAGCAUGCAUCCUUGGCACUGCUGCCAAUUCCAAUGUGAAUGAGGCCACCCAACACAUCCACACAAGCUCCCAACUUGAGAGUGUCGAUGGGACACGUGUUCUUUGGUGGUGAUGGGGUUGGCACUGGUGUUGGUGGUGGUGGAGGAGGACAUGGUGUCUCAGUGGGUGGAGGAGGCUUAACUGGUACAACUGGGGUAGGUGUAGGUGUUGGUGGGCUUGGUGGUACAACAGGUGGUGAUGGUGGUGGCUUAACUGGUACAACUGGGGUAGGUGUUGGUGUUGGUGGGCUUGGUGGUACAACAGGUGGUGAUGGUGGUGGCUUAACUGGUACAACUGGGGGCUUGGGUACAUAGGGUGGUGGGGGUUGUACAACUGGGGGCUUGGGUACAUAUGGUGGUGGUGGUUGUACAACUGGGGGUUUGGGGAUGAAGGGUGGGUGCACAAUUGGGGGUUUAGGGAUAAAAGGUGGGUGCACGAUUGGGGGCUUGGGGAUGAAGGGUGGGUGCACAAUUGGGGGCUUGGGGAUGAAGGGUGGGUGCACAAUUGGGGGUUUAGGGAUGAAGGGUGGGUGCACAAUUGGGGGUUUAGGGAUGAAGGGUGGGUGCACAAUUGGGGGUUUAGGGAUGAAGGGUGGGUGCACAAUUGGGGGCUUGGGGAUGAAGGGUGGGUGCACAAUUGGGGGCUUGGGGUGGGGUGGUGGUUUGACAAUAGGAGGCUUGGGGAUGAAGGGAGGUCUCACAAUAGGUGGUUUGGGGACAGAAGGAGGUUUUGGUAUAUGGGGAGGAUAUACAAUGGGGGGUUUGGGGCCAUGAGGUGGCUUGGGUACAUGGGGUGGAUGAGGAUGAGGUGGCUUUGAUGGUGGCUUGGGAACAUAGGGAGGCUUUACAUGAGGGGGAUGGGGUGGUUUUGAUGGUGGUUUGGGAACAUAGGGAGGCUUUACAUGAGGAGGAAGAGGUGGUUUUGAUGGUGGUUUGGGAACAGAGGGAGGCUUUACAUGAGGGGGAUGAGGUGGGUGUUUAGGUGGUUUAGGGAUGAAGGGUGGCUUUACAUGAGGAGGCUGUUUGGGUGGCAAGUGUGGAGGGUAUGUUGGUGGUGGACAGUAGGAGUUAGCAAGAGAAGUGAGCAAACUACCCAAAUUCACAAUGAGGACUAAGAGCAAAGCCAGGGUAUAAUUCCCCAUGUUCAAAACUCCACAACCCUCAAAAGAGUUGG